Molecule: long non-coding RNA, 401 nt
Organism: Hylaeus anthracinus
Lineage: Eukaryota; Metazoa; Arthropoda; Insecta; Hymenoptera; Colletidae
Exons: 3
Source: RefSeq, a predicted model, not a curated record
UUCAGUAUAUUUGUAAUUGUUUGUAAUCGUACAGAAUAUUUUCAACAUUAUGUGUCCGAUAAAAUUAGAAACGAUGCUUUUAUCGACAAAAUCUUUAUCAGUUGCUUCAAAGCUGUGAUAAAAUGUAAUUACAGUAAGUGGAAAUACAGAAAUAAUCGUGAGCGAUUGUUUCAGCGUAAAAUGCAACGUCGAACGUGGGACGAGUGUUUGUCUAGGAAUUUUAACUUGAUUUGAAGUUUGAUUAAAUUUUGACGCGACACGAGGAUUUCCACAAAUAAAGAACUUCCAGCUAAACACAUUUGUACGAAUAAUAGUCAAUGAGAAAAAUGUUCAAGUUUCUGAUAACCUUAGGUGUGGGAGUCUAUGCUGGUAUAUACAUAAGUCAAAAUUAUGAGGUAUGU